GUCUGUGGCCAUAGCACCCUGAAUGCACCUUGAUCUCAGAAGCUAAGCAGGGUCAAGCCUGGUUAGUACUCAGAUGGGAAAGGUGGCUUGAUCUGGCUGUGGAUA
This 105-nucleotide ribosomal RNA is filed under the name Nannospalax galili (Upper Galilee mountains blind mole rat). The record is from RNAcentral. Lineage: Eukaryota; Metazoa; Chordata; Mammalia; Rodentia; Spalacidae.